RNAcentral lists this small RNA (127 nucleotides) under Marmota monax (woodchuck). The record is from RNAcentral. Lineage: Eukaryota; Metazoa; Chordata; Mammalia; Rodentia; Sciuridae.
GCCGAGUGUAGUGGUGCAUGCCUAUAAUCCCAGCAACUGGGCAGGCUGAGGCAUGAGGAUCAUUAGUUUGAGGCCAGUCUCAGCAAUUUAGCAAGACCCUCAGCAACUUAGUGAGAUCCUGUCUCAA